Balaenoptera acutorostrata (minke whale) is the source of this 866-nucleotide RNA transcript. It is a transcript of the gene named chromosome 16 C10orf143 homolog, with no coding region annotated. The transcript has 4 exons. The record is from RefSeq and is a predicted model, not a curated record. NCBI's taxonomy places the organism in Eukaryota, Metazoa, Chordata, Mammalia, Artiodactyla, Balaenopteridae.
CUCAGAUGUGCGCGGGGCUCCCUGCAAGGUCUCGAUGUCUAGGUCAGGGGGGUGUCCCGCGUUCUGCACGCCGCUGUUCCUAAGUCACGCCUCCACGUGCAGGCGCUGGGCUGGGUGGUAUGGGUGCCGGAAACGGGCAUGCAGGAGAUUAGAAGCAGCGGCGCAGGAGUGGGGCUGCCCCCAGGUGAAGGUGCGCGUGCCCGCAUCCUGGGGCAGCAAGGAGCCCGAGUCACCAGAUGCCCAGCCCAGAGGCCACCUCCCUGCACCGAGGCCAGACGGUGGCCAGGGGCAACCAAGCGUGGGGCUGUGAUUUGUUAAAUAGGUUCCUCAGGACGGUGGAAAGAGCUGGGCCCAGCCUUGCCCAAGAUGCAUUGCGGGGGAGUCUGGACAUUUUAACCAUAUGGAGAAUUGGUAGAAGAUGCAAGCUGAAAAAGGAAGAUUCCAGUUGUGGUUUCGAACCCCCAUGUGCCAGCGAAUGUAAAGCUCUCCUGGGUGGAUGUGUGUGCCCUCCUGUUCAAACAGCGCCUGGUACCCUCCCGUCAGGAAAUGCCACCGUCCUCCGCUCCAGAGCCAGAAGAGCCUCCAAAUGUUACUCCUCAUGAAGCCUCCUUUCAAAUGCAUCUUGCUUGAGAAGAAGAUCAAUUGCAUUAUUUAAAAGUUUAAAAAAUUCAGUAUCAAACUUCCUGUGAGGUUUGAGAGCCCUAUAGCUUACAGAGCCAUAUCCAGAUGUAGCCCCACUUUAUACUUUUCUAUUGUUUUGUGGAUGUAUCCAGAGCUGCUUAUGUACUCUUUUUUAAUUAAAAGUCUUAUUUUUAUAUUGAAAACUCUCUAUAAUCUUAAACUGAAUUUCAGUAAAUGUUAGUAUC